RNAcentral lists this unclassified non-coding RNA (431 nucleotides) under soil metagenome. Its description in RNAcentral is "partial contains 5.8S ribosomal RNA, internal transcribed spacer 2, and large subunit ribosomal RNA". The stretch from base 1 to 120 matches the Rfam family "5.8S ribosomal RNA", at positions 35 to 154 of the family's 154-position model. The record is from RNAcentral.
GAUGAAGAACGUAGCGAAAUGCGAUACGUAAUGUGAAUUGCAGAAUUCAGUGAAUCAUCGAAUCUUUGAACGCAUAUUGCGCUCUUUGGUAUUCCGAAGAGCAUGCUUGGUUGAGUAUCAGUAAACACCUCAAAAGAUUUUCAUUUUUGAAAUGAUUUUGGACUUGAGCAAUCCCAACACCAGUCUUCACGGAUCGGCGGAGGGUUGCUUGAAAUGCAGGUGCAGCUGGACAUUCUCCUGAGCUAAAAGCAUAUCUAUUUAGUCCCGUCAAACGGAUUAUUACUUUUGCUGCAGCUAACAUAAAGGGAGUUUGACCAUUUUGGCUGACUGAUGCAGGAUUUCACAAGGGUCGGUAAAACGAUUUUUGUAAAACUCGAUCUCAAAUCAAGUAAGACUACCCGCUGAACUUAAGCAUAUCAAUAAGCGGAGGA